GGCUGUAGCUCAAUGGCAGAGCGCUUGCCUAGCAUGCGUGUGAGGCACUGGGUUCGAUCCUCAGCACCA
RNAcentral lists this transfer RNA (69 nucleotides) under Marmota monax (woodchuck). RNAcentral describes it as "tRNA.Ala". The record is from RNAcentral. Lineage: Eukaryota; Metazoa; Chordata; Mammalia; Rodentia; Sciuridae.